Hyla sarda is the source of this 1470-nucleotide long non-coding RNA. RefSeq lists it as uncharacterized. The record is from RefSeq and is a predicted model, not a curated record. The transcript has 3 exons. NCBI's taxonomy places the organism in Eukaryota, Metazoa, Chordata, Amphibia, Anura, Hylidae.
UGGCAACCCCCCAUUCUGGCCACCCCUGGAUGUCGAGGGGAUCGUGGAAAGAAGAUGGAGGUCGGUACGUGCAGGAGAAGAUGCCUGGAGACCCCGAUCUUUGCUGGAGACUGCUGGAUCCUGGAACCUGGGAGUGUAGAAAAGGUUUCCAGUUAGAAGGCGUCUUUUGAAUUCUGUCCAGAGAAGCUCCCUCUCUUUAGUAGAUCCUUUCAUGAUGCCUCGGUUCUCCUGUGCUCUUCUAGACAGGUGUGCCUUAAUCCUUUUAAAAGUCACUUGGAAAGUGGUUCUGCAUUAAGUGCUUUAAUAGUGUAAAUUAGAGACCUUAGAGGUUUCAUCCAAAAGGUCAUCUCCAGUCUACCAUGUGAGGGUAAUGUGUUCAAGUUUCCAGCUCCAAGAAGCAGAAUUUUCUAGCCAGUGGAGGAGAAAGCUAAACUAAACCCUAAACAGAUUUCAACAGUUCUAUGGUCGCAACUGCAUUCCCACUAACAAAAUGUAUACACCAGAAACUUUUCAGCCAGUAUAUCUGCUAGUGAGAUGUUUCUUAAAGGGACAGUGACCAAGUUCUCACUUAUCUACUUAGAAAGGGUAACAUUCCACACAAGAGACUGAAUUGAAUUUGCAUAGAGCAUCAAUUUGUUGCCACGUUACACAAGUGUCUGGAUUUCCACACUACGGGGACGUCAUCAUUGACAAAAGAUUGCUUGGGCUUACAGGGGAACAUUAGGUUAUAAUACACACAGCUUUUAAUUGUGAUAAAAAAAAAUUACCCACUAUAAGUCUAUAAAAUACAGUACCAAAAUAUUCUUGUAUUUUACACUUUGUAGGAUAAUGGUGGUGCUUUUAAAAUAACCUGUUUUCUUGGAAUUGGGAUACAAAAUCUAUUUUUUCAGCAGCACCUGUGAAAUGAAGCUCAGCCAGUCUGCAGAAUUUCUCUUUUUGGCUCCGAUACCCAUAGCUAGCAGUACUGAAACUAAUCCAGAAGAUGUUAUUACUAAACUGUAAUAAGCCAUUCUCUGCAGGCUGUAAAGCAUAUGUCCUCAACUUCAACCAGAACGUAAAGCACGCCCUUGUUCCUGAUAAGUGGGCUACAAACGCUUGCUGCGCAUAUAAUAAUAAGCGCAAAUGGCACAUACAGCCGAUUAAAGGGUUAGAAUAGUGUUUUAUGGUCACACAGUGUUAAACUGUAACUGGAGUUUAUACAAAAAAUCACAGUAGUUGUAUACAGUAUUAGACUACUACAUUUCAUAGAAAGAUAGUUUAACACAGAUUAUUAAGUGAAUUUGGACACUUUAAAAAUAUAAAUUAUACACAUUUAGCUCAUGGAGUCAGCUUUGUAUUGUACUGUCACAGACAUCAAUGUUGUUUACAGCGAUUGACGCAUUAUUAACCCAAAGCUGAAAAGGUCUCGUCCUCUUUUCUCAGAAGUCUAUGUACACCCAGAUUUCCUCUUUUUACAUCUUUUAAAGGGGU